GCAUCGCCCCGCUUGUCGACCUGGAUCCUCGGCAGACGCAGCCCUCGCCGGGGACACGGACGCGCAGGCUCCGGCCCAGAGCGAGGCCCGCGCGCAGCACCGCCGCCCUUAAAGGGAUACGAGCCUGGAGAAGUUCUCUUCUAGGGUACAGAGUGUUGGAGGAGCCCCAUUUGAAGACAGACUUGUGAACUUCACUGAGCUUCCCCAAUCUUUGACUGCAAGUAUCUGUUACUCUUUGUGUAUGCGCUCUCAGGCUGGGUGGAGGCCUUCUUUACUAACAGAGAAGGUGCCACGUCUCCUAAAGAAAAUCACUCCCAGAUUUGGGAUCCCAAUCAUCAAAGGGUCUGGUAAUGGGUUAAUGUUUGGGGUGGCACAAUUGGUGACAAAGGGGUUGAAGAUCACUUGGGCACUACAUACUGUCCCCAGAGCUCUGGGAAGGUGGAAUGAAUAAAACUGCAGCUGAACAAAAACUGUGGGGAAACCAACCUACACGAGGACCAGCUAUUUCCAGUUACUUUAUUGAGUAUUCGGUCUAGCUGUACUGGACAGACAGGGUUCUCCCCUUAUCCUUUGUGGAUUCCUGUCUCUGAUACAGGACAUUGCUCUGAGAUAACAGAUGUAGACUCCUGGUUUGUCCCUGACUACUGUACACCAUCGAGUUAGGGAAUGGUUACAUGCCAACUUGACCACAGAUGGUCACCUCUUUAAACCAGGAGAUGCCAUAUGGGUAAAAGAAAGGAAUAUCCAACCCCUUUGGAUGGGUCCAUUCACUGUUGACUUAUUCACUCCUGUUGCAGUAAAGAUGGCCCCCUAAUUUCCCCACAGCAGAGUAAAACCGGCUUCUGGAGACUGGGAAUGCACUUACAGUUCAUCAAUAAUAUGACUCACUCAUACAAGCUUCGAUGCCAGCUGUAUGGACUGCAGUUCCACUUGAGUCACUCCGGAGGCUGACUAAUCUGUGUGUGACAGAAGCUUGAGAGAUUGGUCAUCCGGUGGCAUAGACUGUUCCUGUUUCCUAUAUCAGUUCUUACUGUGAUACAUUGCCAUCCCUUGUCCCUGAUCUGUUGCUGUGAUCCUUGCCCUAACCUUUGCCACAGGGCAGGCAGAGACCACUCUAGUCAACAAGAUAUGUGGCGAAUGGCUUCUGUUGGUGUUUUUUCCUCUUGUGGGCAGAGUAAUUCAUUGCUGCUGGUUGCCACCCCUCUGGGCUUUGUUUUUAGACUUAAGUCUGUCUCAUGCAUGCCGCACCACUUGACAUGACCAAGAGGACAUCAUGAAAACCUUACUUUAUCACAACCAUUUCACUGGCCAAGGAAAGGUCUUAGGGGCCUGCAGACAUGAUAAGACCACUAUUCCAUCUGCCAACUGGGAGAUCAAUAUACCUGUCUCAACCCACAGUACUCCCCCAUUGAGAAGUACAUAGAAGUCUGGAAAAGGUCCAGUGGAACCAGACUAACUGAAUCCACUUUAUUGACCCAAAACAGCCAGCAACCUUAUGUUUUGACAUGUGUGGCACCAUAAGCCACACCCAGUCAACUUAUAGUGAAUAAUGUGUGAGUCUAUAUUGGGAAUGGUAAGUAUAUUUGUGAGGAGUUGAAGUUAUAUCUGAAUAUGCCACAUGGUACUGUUGUUACUGACCCUAUUGGAGCUGUGAUUCAUGGACCACCUGGAAGGAUAAAGAUAAAAUAGCUCUCCUCCAAAGGGUGUUGCCACCACCAGCCAUAAAUUGGGAACCUAUAAUCCUGUUCAUUUUUUUACCUCAUUGUGCAACAGUUUCCUCUCAUUGAAACAUUCCAUCCUUCCAGGAAGUUCCUUAACCAGGAAGGUAAACAACUCAACAUAGCUUCAGGAAGUCCCUGAAACAGAUCAGAUUUACUAGACCCCUCCCUCCUAGAGUAAUCAAUAGAGACUGCUGAGGAUCUCAGACAAGCCAAGCUGAAAAGAAGACUGAGACCAGACCACCUGCCUGGAAGAGGGGAGAACAGCUGAGCUUGCUGGAAAGGACAUUCUCCGGCCUAUUGAGUUACCUUCUGGCUGUGCAGUGCACUACAGGUUCCAGUUUUGUGAGCUGUCACUGAUACUGGGGUGGGCUGUGGUGAUGCAUCUGUCUUUGAAUCAUUUCUGCUCCUGUAAAUAACUCCUCAACUAUACUCCUGUAAGUAACCCCAAUAAAACUCAUUGGUUCACAAAGUUGAACUUUAGUGGUAUCUGUACUUUUGGUCUGAUGUAGACUCCUUAUCUAGGUUUAAUGCUCCUGUGUAACAUCUCCUUAGAAAAGUUUUGUCACACAACAAUCCUCCAUCCAAAAGGAUGGAAGAAUGGUCACCAAAUGAAUAUUUAUCUUGGGUGUAACCAAGACCCAGUGAAGUGUAAAAGGCCCAAACCCACUUCCAUGUUUAAAGUGGAUUCACCAAUCCCUGAGCAUGAAAUCCCACCAAUCCCUGGACUUGGCUUGAAAUUUCAUCAAUCCCCACCCUAGAAAACUCUUCCCCCAAUAAAUUCUAUAUCAGCCUUCUCCUGCUCAAUUCCCUGCUGCCUCUUGCCCCAGCAGAGGCGACCACCCUUUUGUGUCUUUCCUAAUAAAUCUCUUGUGUGA
Molecule: long non-coding RNA, 2596 nt
Organism: Mesocricetus auratus (golden hamster)
Lineage: Eukaryota; Metazoa; Chordata; Mammalia; Rodentia; Cricetidae
Exons: 2
Source: RefSeq, a predicted model, not a curated record